UUCAGGUGUACUCCAGGGAGGGGAGAGGGGCUGGAGGUUGAAUCAACUAACUGCCAGCAACUGAAGAUUUAAUCAGUCAUGUCUUAGGUAAUGAAGCAUCCAUAAAACCCCAAAUGAAUGGGGCUUGGAGAGGUUCCAAGUUGGUGAACGCAUGGAGAUUUGGAGAGAGUAGUACGCUGGGAUAGGACAUGGAAACUCAGCGCUCCUUCCCCAUACCUUACCCUAUGGAUCUCUUUCUGAAUCCUCAGGCGGUUCCUGAAUUACAGCUGUUUAUAAUACACCAGUAAUCUACCAACAGGAUUUAUAUAAGAGGAAAAGAAGAAAAAAGGAAGAAGGAGAAAACACCAACUACGUGGAAAUGUGACCUGUUUUCAUGUCCUUGGGUAAAUUGGUGAUUGGCUGGCAACUCUCUGGAACUGGUUGGGGUCUUCUGCCUUGGACAGCUGGAUAGAUCAUUGGAGAAGACAAUUUCAGUUAUGAUGGAGUCUUUGAAAAACCUCAAGAUUUUUUAACCAUAAAAUAUACCUGCCAGGCUAUUCCUCAAAA
Molecule: long non-coding RNA, 546 nt
Organism: Acinonyx jubatus (cheetah)
Lineage: Eukaryota; Metazoa; Chordata; Mammalia; Carnivora; Felidae
Exons: 2
Source: RefSeq, a predicted model, not a curated record